Molecule: ribosomal RNA, 303 nt
Filed under: uncultured Gammaproteobacteria bacterium
Lineage: Bacteria; Pseudomonadati; Pseudomonadota; Gammaproteobacteria
Description: bacterial SSU rRNA
Rfam family: Bacterial small subunit ribosomal RNA
Source: RNAcentral
GGCAACCCUGAUCCAGCAAUGCCGCGUGCAGGAAGAAGGCCUUCGGGUUGUAAACUGCUUUUGUCAGGGAAGAAAUCCUGUGGGUUAAUACCUCGUGGGGAUGACGGUACCUGAAGAAUAAGCACCGGCUAACUACGUGCCAGCAGCCGCGGUAAUACGUAGGGUGCGAGCGUUAAUCGGAAUUACUGGGCGUAAAGCGUGCGCAGGCGGUUUUGUAAGACAGAGGUGAAAUCCCCGGGCUCAACCUGGGAACUGCCUUUGUGACUGCAAGGCUGGAGUACGGCAGAGGGGGAUGGAAUUCCG